RNAcentral lists this ribosomal RNA (254 nucleotides) under uncultured bacterium. Its description in RNAcentral is "partial 16S ribosomal RNA". It matches the Rfam family "Bacterial small subunit ribosomal RNA", at positions 524 to 776 of the family's 1533-position model. The record is from RNAcentral.
UACAGAGGGUGCGAGCGUUAAUCGGAAUUACUGGGCGUAAAGCGUGCGCAGGCGGCGCGUUAAGACAGGUGUGAAAGCCCCCGAGCUUAACUUGGGAAUUGCGCUUGUGACUGGCGUGCUGGAGUGUGGCAGAGGGAGGUGGAAUUCCACGUGUAGCAGUGAAAUGCGUAGAGAUGUGGAGGAACACCGAUGGCGAAGGCAGCCUCCUGGGCCAGCACUGACGCUCAUGCACGAAAGCGUGGGGAGCAAACAGG